ACGGAAUAGAUACCCGGGUAGUCCACGCCCUAAACGAUGUCUACUAGUUGUCGGGUCUUAAUUGACUUGGUAAACGCAGCUAAACGCGUGAAAGUAGACCGCCUGGGGAGUACGGUCGCAAGAUUAAAACUCAAAGGAAUUGACGGGGACCCGCACAAGCGGUGGAUGAUGUGGAUUAAUUCGAUGCAACGCGAAAAACCUUACCUACCCUUGACAUGGAUGGAAUCCCUGAGAGAUUGGGGAGUGCUCGAAAGAGAACCAUUACACAGGUGCUGCAUGGCUGUCGUCAGCUCGUGUCGUGAGAUGUUGGGUUAAGUCCCGCAACGAGCGCAACCCUUGUCAUUAGUUGCUACGAAAGGGCACUCUAAUGAGACUGCCGGUGACAAACCGGAGGAAGGUGGGGAUGACGUCAAGUCCUCAUGGCCCUUAUGGGUAGGGCUUCACACGUCAUACAAUGGUACAUACAGAGGGCCGCCAACCCGCGAGGGGAGCUAAUCCCAGAAAGUGUAUCGUAGUCCGGAUUGUAGUCUGCAACUCGACUGC
Molecule: ribosomal RNA, 543 nt
Filed under: uncultured bacterium
Lineage: Bacteria
Description: bacterial SSU rRNA
Rfam family: Bacterial small subunit ribosomal RNA
Source: RNAcentral